Molecule: ribosomal RNA, 253 nt
Filed under: uncultured Eubacteriales bacterium
Lineage: Bacteria; Bacillati; Bacillota; Clostridia; Eubacteriales
Description: uncultured Clostridiales bacterium partial 16S ribosomal RNA
Rfam family: Bacterial small subunit ribosomal RNA
Source: RNAcentral
UACAUAGGGAGCAAGCGUUAUCCGGAUUUAUUGGGUGUAAAGGGUGCGUAGACGGGAAAUUAAGUUAGUUGUGAAAUCCCUCGGCUUAACUGAGGAACUGCAACUAAAACUGAUUUUCUUGAGUACUGGAGAGGAAAGUGGAAUUCCUAGUGUAGCGGUGAAAUGCAUAGAUAUCACGCAGAACUCCGAUUGCGAAGGCAGCUUACUAAGCCAUAACUGACACUGAAGCACGAAAGCGUGGGGAGCAAAAAGG